UCCAUGUCUUGGCUAUUGUAAAUAAUGCUGCUAUGAACAUUGGGGUGCAUGUAUCUUUUCAAAUUAGAGUUUUUAAGUGUUUUAUACUCACCCAAUUCUCUGCAUUUCUUAAAUGCCUUCCUGCUUAAAAUAGCUAAACUGGUUUCUGUUUUUCUAAAAGUGACCCAUGAAUGAUACAUUGGCUGAAGGUAAGCAAAAGCUACAGCCCAAGAAUAACACUGUCAUCCAUAUCUCUAUGAUCUUUGUAGCCUUCAGGUGAACUGAUGAAAAACCACCAUGAAAUCUCAGGAGUAAUGAGUUACUUCUUCCUGUGUUCCUUGCCCCACUUCUAAAGUACAUAAUUAUAUCCCACCACUGCUACUAUUAUAAUGGAUGUGAGGUGGUAAUCUCUUGGACUGCGUGUUGGCAAUCAAGCUCACAGCCAUAAUUCAUUCAAAAAUCGUUUACCAAGCAGAUGACAGUGAGCCAGUCUAGAAAGGCUUGUUAGGAACUAACCACACUAACAUUAGUGUAGUGUGGCUUCCCAGGUCCCACAGACCCACUGGCUGAUGCAUUCUGAUAUCACUGGCUUAAGGAAUCUACAGAUCUGAGGAUGCCUGCCAAGUUCCUCAACUAUUCUGCAUACUUUCCUUGUGAAUGAGGCACAGCUGGGAUGGGUUCCCUGACAUUAUCCACACACUAGUAUGAGAAAUAUCUAAGCCCUUUCGACCUCAUAGGAUUGGCUGUAAACAAGACACAUUCUACUUAUUUAUGCUUUUCAACAACUGCUCUUCCAGUCCAAGGGCACUUUACAUGCAUAUGCAGUAUACCAGCCACUCUUAGAAUGACAUUGUUACUCCAGAUGGUGUAUCGUAUACAGAGUCUCUGGUAAGUGGAUUCUUUACUGAUAAAUGUCCAGAUUUUCACAUAAGAUACUUGAUAAGAUUUCAAACUGAACCUACAGUGUACAAAAUUAACCUCAGAGUUUGAUUUUCAGGGAGUCACAGACUGAAAUUCCUCAAUUUUCUAUGACCAGUAUGCUACGAGAAUCCCUAACUUUUGUAGCUGCAGGGCUGAGAUUGCUAUAAGAAUGAGAAAAGGAAUCAGAGAUUUCCAAGUACUCAAUCUCUCUUAAAAACCCACCAUUGAAAUUUCACUGCAUAAGGAAGCCCUCUACCUUCUUUGUCCAUAGAAACUUUUUUGCCAUCCUGAGAGCUCCCUUCCGGGAGGAAGCUGAUACUCCCCCCUCACAUCUGCUGUCAGCAGGCCAGGCACUAGGACCAGGUCCCAUUUUUCCCUGGGGUCAUAUGCAAAACCAGACAUUUCAAAAGGAAGUUUAUGUUUUGAAAACAUUGCAAGAAUUGCUUAAUUUUUAUCAACCAAAAAAAAUAAAAAGCAAACUUUUUACAAAUUGAUGUUGAGCCUAUUUGGCUCAGAAGCAUGGCUGAUACUUUCAGAUGGGGUUAAAUUUGUUUCCAGGGGUGACAAUUCCCUGGUCUUUACCCUACAACUUGCUCCCUGGAACCAAUUUUCGUAUCUGUUAGGAUUCUUCAGUUGUAACAACAUAAAUCAACUCUGGAUAACUGGAUUGUUGUAGUGGUUAAUAGCUUAGGCUUUCCUAAGGUACAAAUUCUGACUCUCUAACUUACUAAUUGUCACUGGACAAUCAAACUAAUCUCCAUUUGCUCUCUGCAAAAGGGAAUAAUAAAAAUACUACAUACUUCAUAAGGCCUUGUGAAGAACAAGUGGGAAAUUACAUUUGAAGUUUUGGUACAUGGUAACAGUUGGGUAGAUUUUAAUUAUAAUUUUAUUUCUAGCUGGCCCUUCAUUUCUUGAAAGAAUCAUAAUGAUCAUUAAAUAAAUCCCUGCUGCCUCUCACCCUGGAGUCCACCACGUAGAGUUGUUGAUGUAAUAAAUAAGUUGUUUCCGAAUGAGCACUUGUACUUUGCAGUGUCGGCCCUCGUGGCGUUAAAUUUGGAGCUUAUGCUUGAAAUCGUUUGUGUUAGUCCUAGAGUGAGCAGACCUGGACACAAAGUUGGGAAUGCAAGAGGUUUAUUGGGAGGUAAUAAAAGAAGUGGGAUCACCUUCAGACUGUGAUGUAAACUCUGGUGGCAGCGAAGGGAGAGGAGGAGGAAGCAGGUCUGGGGAAGGAGAGCCUCAGACUGCGAUGCAGAGAUGACAGAACUUCAGCCAACCCAAUGCGGAGCUCUAGAGCAAAGAUUGCUCUUAGAGGAAUAUGCAGAAAUGGCCAGGCCCUGAUGUCCCUGCUGUGCUGUCAUUGGCUGGGGGAUGCCUUGGAAGAGAAUGGUUUCAGCCUGAAAGUUAAUGGCAGAUCCCAAAAGCAUGCACAGCUGAGGCUGCCAGCAAGUUCUUCCUUGAAGGGAGUUCUGAGUGGUCAGCCUCUAUGGCUGUCGUGGUCCACCCCUUGUGCUGCAUGGCAGCAGCUUCUCUAGGGUUUCAAUGAGCCUCUCUUCCUAAUGGCGAAGUUACGGGUUCCAGCUGGUAUUCACUGUUCCCCUCCGGUGUCCAUUCUAAAUUCCUCUCUCCCUCAUCUACCCCCUCUCUGUCCUUAGUGGCUUAUCGAUUGGUUUGACACCCAUGUGCUAAUUCUAAGGACUCUGAACCCCUAGGAACCAUACUCUUCGUCUUCUCAGAUCAGGAUGGCUGCGCUUGUCCAUUUACAGUUAUGAUUGGACAAGGGAAUAACCAGAAGUACCCCAGUGGGUCACCUGAGUUCCACACAUAUUCCUGCCUGUCGCAGUUGUGUCACAGCAGCCCUGCCUCCUAUGGAUCGAGCUCAGUAACUCCUGUUAAGGCAGUAACUCCUGUUCUUGCCUGCUUAUCCUAAAUAUAAAGAGACCAAAGUUCCCAGAUGGCAGCCGUGUCUUACAGAUUAAUGGAAAACUUGCUAUGUCCCUUUGCAAGGGUAUGUCCCCUUUUGGAAUCAGGACCUGUAAUCCCGCAGAGCCCAGAGUUGUUUGGACAGAAAGCACAAAGUCCCCUGAUGGGUCAUUGCAAAUGAUGUUAAGUGGGGCCACUCCUGCUUGGUUCCUGGAUCCAUGAAUUCUUCCUGUUGGGGACGUGGAAUCAAUAGGUCUCUGAUUCAGUGUGUGCACUGCAUCCUGGAGGAUGGUACCCCAUCCUUGCAGAGUAUUACCUAGGAGUUAGUACUUCUGUAGGUCAUUUCAUUAUUCUAACAGGUUGGCAGCUUCUGGAUGGAGCAAUAUAUGAUAUGACCAUUGGAGCUCAUGGUCUUGGCCCCUCCCAUCCCUCCUUCUUUUCCCUACCUGAUUGGAUGCUAUACUGUGUAGGGCUUUAAGACUGUGGAACAGGUGCUCCCUAGCCAUGCCCUCCAAAUCUGUUCUAGGUAACUCAUAUAAGUGACAAAUAACACAAUAUUUGUUCUUCUGUAUCUGGCUUAUUUCACUUAGUAUAAUGUUUUCAAUGUUCAUCCAUGUUGUAGCAUGUGUGAGAAGAUGACUUUUUAAAAAGCUUUUAAUUGAAGUAUGACAUACAAAGAGAAAAGUGAGUAACUCCUCCCAAGUUGAACACAUCAGGGUAAGCAGCACCUAGAUAAGAAACCUAGUAACUGGCACCACAGAAGACCCCCCAUGCUCCCUUCCAGUCCUAACCCCAGUGAUAAGCUCUAUCCUAACUUCUAAGAAUACAGAUUAAUUUCACCUAGUAUUUAACUUUAUAUAAAUGAAACCAUGCAAUAUUUAUUCUUUUUCUGUCUGCUUUCUUUUGCUCAGUAUUAUGUUUGUGGCAUUCAUCCAUAUUGUUGUGUAUAGUUAUAGUUUUUUUAUUCUUGUUGCAAUAUAUGAAUAUUCUCAUUGCUAUGUGUGAAGAGUCUCAUUCUGUUGUAUGAAUAUACCACAAUUUAUUUAUCCUUUAUACUGUCGAUGGUACUUAGGUAGUUUCUGUUUUUAGCUCUUAUAAAUGGUGCUGCUAUGAACAUUCUUGAACAUGUCUUUUGGUGAACCCAUGAAUAGAUUUAUAUUAUUUAUAUGCAUACGUAAUAUAUGUUGAAUAUAUGGUAUAUAAUGUGAAUAUGUAAUAUGAACCUAUAUACAGGUUUCCCCUGUUAUCUGAAAGCAGAGCAUUCUUAUGAAACCUUUUGUAAGCCAAAAUGGCGAAGUGAAGAAACAAUUACCUAAGGACACAUCUUGCUAAUGGAUGCACAGGAUAAAUGGAACUAAAGCACAGAUGCUCACAGACACAGUUCAAAGCUAUGGCCGCUUGAUGCUGAGAUGCUGAGUGUAGCUCCCAGGGAAGGAGCUUGGCGGGGCCACUCUCAUUACUCAGACUCAGGGCGACAGGAGAUGAUGACUGAUGACUCAGCCUCCGUGGCUCCACUUCCCAGAGCUCCACUCACCACAUCAGUAAGCCUGGCACUGAGGGGGAGACAGAAUCACAACACGUGUUGCUGUCCAUUCUCGCAGAGAUGUCAAGAGCCAAGGCCCGAGAAGAGGAGAGAACUGGGGCAUAAAGGAAAGAAGAAAGGGAUAAAUGGCCCAUUUAAACAUGGGGCCCCAUGUGGUCCAGUCUGUAUGACAUGUCACAUUCAACUAAACACAGGUUUGACAACUGAGACAAAUCAGAAGGGGGUUGGGAGCCCCAAGCAAUCCGAUCUGUUUGGAGCUGGAAGGACCAAGAGUGGUGAGGGCUGUGCUGUGUGGAAAGUGCUCCUCGAUAGCAGCAAACCACGGAAGGGGAGGGAGAUGAAGACACUGAUCAUGGCCUGGGGCAGUCGGUAUAUACCCAGCAGAGGAAUCACUGGAUCAUAUGGUAUGUGAAUAUAUCUUCUCAAGUAGAUUUCUCAAUUUCUCUACAGAAAACAAUUUUUAGAAAUGAUACCCACCAUUUAUUGAGUACUUACUACAUUCCAGCCCACAGGAAGACUGUGGCUCAAGCACUCACUCUCUCUUGCUUGCUUGCUCAUCCUGAUGGAAGCCAGCUGCCAUGUUGUGUGUUGCCUUAGGAGAGGCCCAUGUAGAACGAUCUGAGGGACGCUUCCAGACAACAGCCAGCAAGGAACUGAAGCCCUCCGCCCAACAGCCCAUGAGGAACUGGAUACAGCUAACAACCACAUGAAUGAGUUGGAAGUGGAUCAUGGAGCCUUUGAAUGAGACCACAACUCCAGCUGACAAUUUUUUUUAAAUUAAAUUUUAUUGGAAUAUA
Aethalodelphis obliquidens (Pacific white-sided dolphin) is the source of this 5160-nucleotide RNA transcript. RefSeq lists it as uncharacterized. The record is from RefSeq and is a predicted model, not a curated record. Lineage: Eukaryota; Metazoa; Chordata; Mammalia; Artiodactyla; Delphinidae. The transcript has 7 exons.